This is a non-coding RNA of Paramuricea clavata, 258 nucleotides long. The record is from the annotation of a GenBank genome assembly. Lineage: Eukaryota; Metazoa; Cnidaria; Anthozoa; Malacalcyonacea; Plexauridae.
GUCGUUUGCAUACGUAGCGAUGUUGAACGAUUUCUGGUGGUUCCUAAAACGCUCCUUGAAAGUUGUAGCCGUAAUUCCAAUAUAGUGCCUUGUUUCUCCGUUGUCCUCUGCUGCGAUCUUUGCAUGGUAGACAAUGCCUUUGGUUAAACAUUUCUUGUUGAGAGGACACGUAUUCUUAUCUCUGCAGUUGCAUGUUUUGUUGGUGGGUGGCGCAGGUGUUGGUGUUGGUUUUAAUGGUGGUGUUGGCGUUAACGUUGG